RNAcentral lists this non-coding RNA (62 nucleotides) under Pseudorhodoferax sp. Leaf274. Its description in RNAcentral is "Betaproteobacteria toxic small RNA". It matches the Rfam family "Betaproteobacteria toxic small RNA". Rfam says of the family: Overexpression in amino aid rich medium attenuates growth, suggesting role in repressing amino acid intake and metabolism. Lineage: Bacteria; Pseudomonadati; Pseudomonadota; Betaproteobacteria; Burkholderiales; Comamonadaceae. The record is from Rfam by way of RNAcentral.
UGUCUCCUCCACCCUCCGAAAAGGUGGAUUAGCCCCGAAUCGCAAGGUUCGGGGCUUUUUUC